Long non-coding RNA from Neogale vison (American mink), 440 nucleotides. RefSeq lists it as uncharacterized. NCBI's taxonomy places the organism in Eukaryota, Metazoa, Chordata, Mammalia, Carnivora, Mustelidae. The record is from RefSeq and is a predicted model, not a curated record. The transcript is spliced from 2 exons.
CCUGUGACCAGCUUAGUUCACGGAGGGUCGAGUGUUCAUGGUCCCUCCACGCUAUUGUCAACAAUGUGGCUAUGGACACGGGUAUGUAAACAUUUCUCUAAGUCCUUGCUUUCUAUUCUUUUGGGUAUAUACCUAGAAUCCAAAUUAUUUUAACAUUAUUCCCCAUUGGGGGUGGGAGGUCUGCUUUACCCAAAUUAGGAUUUGAACUUGGCCACCUGAGUAGUCUGUGGCAGCUGUGCAUGCUGGGAAGCAGUCUCCUGGAAGGGCAGUCCCAGCUCUGCAGUAGCCUGCCCUCCUUGUCCCAGCCCUCCCCCACCACACUCCUCCCCGCCCCCGCCACGGCAGCCAUGGCCAAGAGAAACCCAAAGCCAGCAUACCCAGCACUCUACUCGAAACACUCUCCUACUGAAUUUCCAAUAAAGAUGAGACAAAAUGAAAAA